ACCCGCGUACAUGCCACCGGGGCAUCCCGGAGGCAGGAAAGGCUUCGGCCGGACAGGGAUGGGCAUGCGGCGCAUUAGGCAGUAGGCGGGGUAACGGCCCACCUAACCGACGAUGCGUAGGGGUUCUGAGAGGAAGGUCCCCCACACUGGUACUGAGACACGGACCAGACUCCUACGGGAGGCAGCAGUGAGGAAUAUUGGUCAAUGGUCGGGAGACUGAACCAGCCAAGCCGCGUGAGGGAUGAAGGUACAGAGUAUCGUAAACCUCUUCUGUCAGGGAACAAAGGCAGGGACGUGUCCCCGGAUGAGUGUACCUGAAGAAAAAGCAUCGGCUAACUCCGUGCCAGCAGCCGCGGUAAUACGGAGGAUGCGAGCGUUAUCCGGAUUUAUUGGGUUUAAAGGGUGCGCAGGCGGUCUGUUAAGUCAGCGGUCAAAGCCCGGGGCUCAACCCCGGCCCGCCGUUGAAACUGGCAGUCUCGAGUUGGAGAGAAGUAUGCGGAAUGCGCGGUGUAGCGGUGAAAUGCAUAGAUAUCGCGCAGAACUCCGAUUGCGAAGGCAGCAUGCCGGCUCCACACUGACGCUGAGGCACGAAAGCGUGGGUAUCGAACAGGAUUAGAUACCCUGGUAGUCCACGCAGUAAACGAU
RNAcentral lists this ribosomal RNA (645 nucleotides) under uncultured bacterium. RNAcentral describes it as "bacterial SSU rRNA". It matches the Rfam family "Bacterial small subunit ribosomal RNA", at positions 167 to 810 of the family's 1533-position model. The record is from RNAcentral.